GUUCUGGUCUCAAGUCCUUGGCUCUGAUGUUCUGGUCUCCAAGUCCUCGGCUCAGAUGCUCCGUUCUGGUCUCAGGUCUUCGACUCCAGAGUUCCUCCCGACCCUUGGAAAGAUGGCUGCAAGGCAGAGAAAGUGUAAAGACAGCCACGAGAACAAGGAAGGUUAUUUCUCCGAAUCUGAAGCAUCCAGCUGCACAGGAUUGGACUAUGAACCAAAUCCUAGUUCGUCAUCUAGUCAAGAGGAGGAUUCAAGCCCAAUGUAUCAAUUAAAAAGCGUUCAGAAGAUCAUCAUGAAGAUCCAGACACCAGCCUGGAUGAAGAUCAUCCCUGAAGAGACGAGUGCAAAAAUCCCAGAAUGUAUGUAAAAACAACCACAUGGACUUGGCAUCAUAUAAGACAUUAAAUGAGACUGUUCUUGCAAAGCUCAUUAUUUUCAAUAAGUGACGUGAGGGAGAGGCAUCACGCUUGACAUUGGACACAUACAGAAGAGC
This is a long non-coding RNA of Fundulus heteroclitus (mummichog), 490 nucleotides long. RefSeq lists it as uncharacterized. NCBI's taxonomy places the organism in Eukaryota, Metazoa, Chordata, Actinopteri, Cyprinodontiformes, Fundulidae. The record is from RefSeq and is a predicted model, not a curated record. The transcript is spliced from 3 exons.